CUCUUUUAAUGAUUGCCCCGGAUAGGUAGGGAUACCCCUGACCUUAAGCAUAUCAAUAAGCGAAGAAAAGAAACCCCCAGGAUUGCCUCAGUAACGGCGAGUGAAGCGGCAAAAGCUCAAAUUUGAAAUCUGGCUCUUUUAGGGUCCGAGUUGUAAUUUGUAGAAGAUGUUUCGGGUGUGGCUCCGGUUUAAGUUCUUUGGAAUAUUACAUCAUAGAGGGUGAGAAUCCCGUAUGUGACCGGCAGCCUUCGCCUAUGUGAAACUCUUUCGACGAGUCGAGUUGUUCGGGAAUGCAGCUCAAAAUGGGAGGUAAAUUUCUUCUAAGCUAAAUAUUGGCCAGAGACCGAUAGCGCACAAGUAGAGUGAUCGAAAGAUGAAAAGCACUUUGGAAAGAGAGUUAAACAGUACGUGAAAUUGUUGAAAGGGAAGCGUUUGCAACCAGACUUGCACGCAGUUGAUCAUCCGGUGAUCUCACCGGGGCACUCUGCUGCGUUCAGGCCAGCAUCGGUUUUGGUGGUUGGAUAAAGGCCUGGGAAUGGGCUUCCUUCGGGGAGUGUUAUAGCCCUCGGUGCAAUGCAGCCUCCGGGACCAGGACCGCGCUUCGGCUAGGAUCGGCGUAAGGUUG
RNAcentral lists this ribosomal RNA (625 nucleotides) under Tetracladium marchalianum. RNAcentral's name for it is "eukaryotic LSU rRNA". It matches the Rfam family "Eukaryotic large subunit ribosomal RNA", at positions 1 to 625 of the family's 3401-position model. The record is from RNAcentral. Lineage: Eukaryota; Fungi; Ascomycota; Leotiomycetes; Helotiales.